ACAGAAGGCCCGGGAAGAUGCCCCACGUCGCGUAAAGCUAUGCGGGGAGGAAAGUCCGGACAACAAAAAGACAGGGUGACCCCUGAAAAGAGGUCGUCCGGUGGGCAACCAUCGGACCGCGAUAGGGCCACAGAGACGAAUAAAGGUGAAACGUCCCCGCUUUUGCGGGGGACCUCAAGUAAGUAAUUAUUUGAGGGUGGUAACCCGCCCCGUUGCAACUUCCGAACUAGUCGAUUUUAGGUGUCUUUUCCUAAGUUCCCGCAAGGGACGCGACUUAAAGUUUGAAGGCAUUAGACAGAUAUCUUCUUAAACAGAAUCCGGCUUAUGAGGCCACGCUGUUAAC
RNAcentral lists this RNase P RNA (343 nucleotides) under Candidatus Collierbacteria bacterium. RNAcentral's name for it is "RNase P RNA component class A". It matches the Rfam family "Bacterial RNase P class A". From Rfam's summary of the family: Ribonuclease P (RNase P) is a ubiquitous endoribonuclease, found in archaea, bacteria and eukarya as well as chloroplasts and mitochondria. The record is from RNAcentral. Lineage: Bacteria; Candidatus Collieribacteriota.